CAGGCAGUCAUCUAGGCAAUUGACUCUUACCAGAACCAUGAGAAUGCACUACUUCCUCAAGCUUCUCUUUCAUUCCAGGGACUCCAAGGGCUUAUCAGAAUCUCCCCAAACAAUUCAUCUACUGAUAUACACAACUUUACCUUUCAUUUGUCAAAUAGGAGUAACUGUCAAGACAGAGCUGACCAUACCCAACUAGCUUUCUAAAGCUGAUACUUGUACACUUGAUACAAGAUAAAAAGAUAGUGUGUAGAACAAACGGCUCUUAUCAGGUAAUACAAGUAAGAAUGGCCUAGGCAGAAGAGGAAUCCUGCAGUGAAUAGUAAACAAUUAGAUAACCAUGUGUGGAGUGCCAAUGUGGAAAGCACCUCAAGCCAUUCCAGAUCCAAUGCCCAAGUGGAAAAGAACAGCCUCCAUUAGUCUUGCAUAUACAACUCAAAAGUCAAGGGUCGCCAAUGGUGUUCUCAUGGGGCCAUAUAGACACAGGGUGAUUCACUUCCUGGAACUGAAGGACUAUGAAACCAGAGUUGCUUGUUUCAAUGCAGAAAGACAGCCUUCAAAAAAUAACAAGAACUCACUUGGAAAAAAUUAUGUACCAGGUAGCCAAUCUGAAUACCAAGAAUAUUUAAUAUGUCUUAAAAAAUUAUGUUUUCGAAGAGCUUCAAAGAGACUAGCCUAGACACAGUGGGCUAAACAGGCAGACAUUGGAGUUGGUACUUUUCAGAAAAGUAGAUCUAUUUCAGAAUGCUGCUAGUAUCAAUCACCCGGAAUCAUCUAUAGUCAAAACAGUAGCAUCUUUGAGAACCAGAAGAAUAAACACACUUAUUUGGAAAUGUUAGCCUCUAUUUUAUUUCAAAUGAAGUAUCUGAAACUCAUGGAGAGAAAACAUUUGAUGCCUGACCAGAAUUUUAAAUAUAAAUUUAUAGAAUGUAGAGCGAAGAGGCAAAAGUACAAUACUGAGAUGAUGCAGGAACAGAAGACAGUUCAUAAAAGACAAGAUGAAGAUGCAAAGCCAGACUCCAGUAAAAGAGAUAAAAUGGUUUGCCCUGCAUUUGUGAAGACCUGUCCAACAUCUUGGCUCCCAGAUGAUUUACUAAGUAUUUCACUAUAGUUUCCUCUGAGCAAUGUCAGCAUUAUGAGCUGGAAUUUAUAGCAGAAUAUGAUUAAUAUCAGGUCUUGUAUGCCAAAAUGCUGACGUUAUCUAGCACAGUUAUUAACCUAGAUUCAAAAAGAAAUCUCCUUUCUCCAGGUUCAAAAGAGUAUAAUGAUAUUAAUUUUUAAAAUCUCCCUUAAUAUCAAAAGAUUAAAUAGAUUAAUCACAUUUUUUAUGCAGGGAAAUAUAGAUGCCUGUAUCUUUAUAACAAGCUGGUUCACAUUAA
This 1376-nucleotide long non-coding RNA is filed under the name Homo sapiens (human). RNAcentral's name for it is "non-protein coding lnc-CXorf51B-3:1". The record is from RNAcentral. Lineage: Eukaryota; Metazoa; Chordata; Mammalia; Primates; Hominidae.